Molecule: ribosomal RNA, 492 nt
Filed under: uncultured bacterium
Lineage: Bacteria
Description: partial 16S ribosomal RNA
Rfam family: Bacterial small subunit ribosomal RNA
Source: RNAcentral
AGUGAACGCUGGCGGUAGGCCUAACACAUGCAAGUCGAACGGCAGCACAGUAAGAGCUUGCUCUUACGGGUGGCGAGUGGCGGACGGGUGAGGAAUACAUCGGAAUCUACUUUUUCGUGGGGGAUAACGUAGGGAAACCUACGCUAAUACCGCAUACGACCUACGGGUGAAAGCAGGGGAUCUUCGGACCUUGCGCGAUUGAAUGAGCCGAUGUCGGAUUAGCUAGUUGGCGGGGUAAAGGCCCACCAAGGCGACGAUCCGUAGCUGGUCUGAGAGGAUGAUCAGCCACACUGGAACUGAGACACGGUCCAGACUCCUACGGGAGGCAGCAGUGGGGAAUAUUGGACAAUGGGCGCAAGCCUGAUCCAGCCAUACCGCGUGGGUGAAGAAGGCCUUCGGGUUGUAAAGCCCUUUUGUUGGGAAAGAAAAGCAGCAGGUUAAUACCCCGCUGUUCUGACGGUACCCAAAGAAUAAGCACCAGCUAACUUCGUG